Molecule: ribosomal RNA, 495 nt
Filed under: uncultured bacterium
Lineage: Bacteria
Description: partial 16S ribosomal RNA
Rfam family: Bacterial small subunit ribosomal RNA
Source: RNAcentral
GACGAACGCUGGCGGCGUGCCUAAUACAUGCAAGUAGAACGCUGAAGGAGGAGCUUGCUCUUCUGGAUGAGUUGCGAACGGGUGAGUAACGCGUAGGUAACCUGCCUGGUAGCGGGGGAUAACUAUUGGAAACGAUAGCUAAUACCGCAUAACAGUAGAUGUUGCAUGACAUUUACUUAAAAGGUGCAAUUGCAUCACUACCAGAUGGACCUGCGUUGUAUUAGCUAGUUGGUGGGGUAACGGCUCACCAAGGCGACGAUACAUAGCCGACCUGAGAGGGUGAUCGGCCACACUUGGACUGAGACACGGCCCAGACUCCUACGGGAGGCAGCAGUAGGGAAUCUUCGGUAAUGGACGGAAGUCUGACCGAGCAACGCCGCGUGAGUGAAGAAGGUUUUCGGAUCGUAAAGCUCUGUUGUAAGAGAAGAACGAGUGUGAGAGUGGAAAGUUCACACUGUGACGGUAUCUUACCAGAAAGGGACGGCUAACUACGUG